Molecule: ribosomal RNA, 253 nt
Filed under: uncultured bacterium
Lineage: Bacteria
Description: partial 16S ribosomal RNA
Rfam family: Bacterial small subunit ribosomal RNA
Source: RNAcentral
UACAGAGGUCUCAAGCGUUGUUCGGAUUCAUUGGGCGUAAAGGGUGCGUAGGCGGCGCGGUAAGUCGGGUGUGAAAUCUCGGAGCUUAACUCCGAAACUGCAUUCGAUACUGCCGUGCUUGAGGACUGGAGAGGAGACUGGAAUUUACGGUGUAGCGGUGAAAUGCGUAGAUAUCGGAAGGAACACCAGUGGCGAAGGCGGGUCUCUGGACAGUUCCUGACGCUGAGGCACGAAGGCCAGGGGAGCAAACAGG